RNAcentral lists this ribosomal RNA (508 nucleotides) under uncultured bacterium. RNAcentral's name for it is "partial 16S ribosomal RNA". It matches the Rfam family "Bacterial small subunit ribosomal RNA", at positions 28 to 507 of the family's 1533-position model. The record is from RNAcentral.
GACGAACGCUGGCGGCGUGCCUAAUACAUGCAAGUCGAACGCUUCUUUCCUCCCGAGUGCUUGCACUCAAUUGGAAAGAGGAGUGGCGGACGGGUGAGUAACACGUGGGUAACCUACCCAUCAGAGGGGGAUAACACUUGGAAACAGGUGCUAAUACCGCAUAACAGUUUAUGCCGCAUGGCAUAAGAGUGAAAGGCGCUUUCGGGUGUCGCUGAUGGAUGGACCCGCGGUGCAUUAGCUAGUUGGUGAGGUAACGGCUCACCAAGGCCACGAUGCAUAGCCGACCUGAGAGGGUGAUCGGCCACACUGGGACUGAGACACGGCCCAGACUCCUACGGGAGGCAGCAGUAGGGAAUCUUCGGCAAUGGACGAAAGUCUGACCGAGCAACGCCGCGUGAGUGAAGAAGGUUUUCGGAUCGUAAAACUCUGUUGUUGGAGAAGAACAAGGACGUUAGUAACUGAACGUCCCCUGACGGUAUCUAACCAGAAAGCCACGGCUAACUACGUG